AUGGGGGAAGUUCAAGUGGAGGCGGGCGCGGAGGAAGCUGGAGGGAGCCACACACAGGAGCUGGCAGUGGGAGGUGGAGGUGAUGCAGGUGGAACCACUGGAGGCGAUGGCGCGCAGCGGAAGGGAGAAGGUCAUGGUGGCAAGUGGAGGAAGGUCGCAGUGGAAGGUCGAGGAAGGUCACCCGGUGGCAGGAUCCCGGCGUCUUGCAACGUGGGUUGGUGGAUGUCGCGCAGCCGCGGGAUCCCGACGAGCGGAGGUUGGUUGGUGGCGGUUGCGGUGGCGCCGCCAGAUGGGGUCAUGCGCGUGGCCGAAAGGUAG
Molecule: ribosomal RNA, 318 nt
Filed under: Triticum aestivum (bread wheat)
Lineage: Eukaryota; Viridiplantae; Streptophyta; Magnoliopsida; Poales; Poaceae
Description: partial small subunit ribosomal RNA
Source: RNAcentral